Molecule: ribosomal RNA, 581 nt
Filed under: uncultured bacterium
Lineage: Bacteria
Description: partial 16S ribosomal RNA
Rfam family: Bacterial small subunit ribosomal RNA
Source: RNAcentral
UGGGGAAUAUUGCACAAUGGGCGCAAGCCUGAUGCAGCCAUGCCGCGUGUGUGAAGAAGGCCUUCGGGUUGUAAAGCACUUUCAGCGAGGAGGAAGGUGGUGAGCUUAAUACGCUCAUCAAUUGACGUUACUCGCAGAAGAAGCACCGGCUAACUCCGUGCCAGCAGCCGCGGUAAUACGGAGGGUGCAAGCGUUAAUCGGAAUUACUGGGCGUAAAGCGCACGCAGGCGGUUUGUUAAGUCAGAUGUGAAAUCCCCGGGCUCAACCUGGGAACUGCAUUUGAAACUGGCAAGCUAGAGUCUCGUAGAGGGGGGUAGAAUUCCAGGUGUAGCGGUGAAAUGCGUAGAGAUCUGGAGGAAUACCGGUGGCGAAGGCGGCCCCCUGGACGAAGACUGACGCUCAGGUGCGAAAGCGUGGGGCAGCAAACAGGAUUAGAUACCCUGGUAGUCCACGCUGUAAACGAUGUCGAUUUUGGAGGUUGUGCCCUUGAGGCGUGGCUUCCGGAGCUAACGCGUUAAAUCGACCGCCUGGGGAGUACGGCCGCAAGGUUAAAACUUAAAGGAAUUGACGGGGUCUAGCUG